Long non-coding RNA from Triticum dicoccoides, 213 nucleotides. RefSeq lists it as uncharacterized. The transcript is spliced from 3 exons. Lineage: Eukaryota; Viridiplantae; Streptophyta; Magnoliopsida; Poales; Poaceae. The record is from RefSeq and is a predicted model, not a curated record.
AUCGAUCGAAAAGGCAAGGCCUCCUGCCUAGGAGCCUCCUAACUACUCCUAGUCGUCGGUGGCCUCCACGUAGUAGUAAGCGCCCUCGGGGUAGUAGUAGUUGUCGGUGGUGGCGUCUGGAUCUGGGGCUCCACCAUCUGAAAGCUCCGAUGAAAGGGGAGAAGGGUCGUUGUCGAAGUAGUCGAUCACAGGGACAUCCACAGCGGUCUCGGG